Molecule: ribosomal RNA, 253 nt
Filed under: uncultured bacterium
Lineage: Bacteria
Description: partial 16S ribosomal RNA
Rfam family: Bacterial small subunit ribosomal RNA
Source: RNAcentral
UACGGAGGAUCCGAGCGUUAUCCGGAUUUAUUGGGUUUAAAGGGUGCGUAGGCGGCUUUCUAAGUCAGGGGUGAAAUACAGCGGCUCAACCGUUGCAGUGCCUUUGAUACUGGGGGGCUUGAAUGUGGUCGAAGGCGGCGGAAUGGGACAAGUAGCGGUGAAAUGCAUAGAUAUGUCCCAGAACCCCGAUAGCGAAGGCAGCUGCCUAGGCCAUAAUUGACGCUGAUGCACGAAAGCGUGGGGAUCGAACAGG